AAAAAACAACCCACCCAAACAAACAGAAAACCCCCCAACAACAAUAGGCUAGACCAAACCAAGAUUUCCAAUUUACUGUAAUUAGCAACUCCUGUGGUCCUGUGACAUAGAGAUGCCAGGCUGCUUUCUGUAAUGAACAUAGAUUCUUCGAAGAGCCUUCACACCGCAACCACUGAAACAUCAAGAAUCCGAGAUGCUGAUUCAUUUAAAGCUGGAGGACAAACAGCUGACGAGGCGUCUGCAACACCCCUGAAAAGGAGUACAGGAAAUAGUGGGGACUGAGCAAUCCGGGACUGAACUUCAUCCUCCAAGAUGACAACGCUCUCCUCCACAGAGUGGGCUUUAUCAGAGGCUACCUCGAGAAUUUGUGAGUCAAGAGGAUAGAAAGGCCUCUCUACAGUCAUGACCUCAACUUCAUUGAACAAUUGUGGGAUCAGCUUAGGUGUGCUGUUCAUGCCAGACUGACCAACAUGACCACAUUGGCUGACUUGCACCAAAUGCUGGUUGAAGAAUGGGAUGCCUUCCCACAGCAAUGUGUAACCAAGCUGGUGACCAGCAUGAGAAGGAGGUGCCAGGCUGUGUAUUGUUCUUUCACUACCGAGGCCCCAGUGAAUAAACUGGUUUCUUCAGACUUAAACCAUUAAUAUCAAUAAAUGACACUAAAAAAGAAUCAAUUGCAGAAUAAGCUGUUUGGCAUUGGGAGAGAAGAUUUGGCAGGUUUUUCAUGGGUGCAAUGGGGAAAUGAGCAGGCUUUUUCAACAGUACAAGAUUUAUUGUUACAACAAGGAAUGAUCAACCAAACACAAAUUUUCAAAGUUUUUAAUGCCCAUAUUAUUUGUUAUGAAGAACCAUGUCAUACUCAUAUAACACUGAGAGAGAAAGAAAAUAUAGUGGACCUCUAUGACACAGGUAAACAAGUUAUAUCAGGGUUUGGAUUUGCAUACUUUUCAAAAUCAUCAUUUUUAGAUUAGGUUUGUUAACUGUGAGCUAAAUGGGGGGAAUCAACAAAGUUUUCUCAUUUCUCUUUCCUAGCUCCCUUCAUAUCAUACAGACAAGAGUGUGUUCGUUUGUUUUAUUGCAUUAGAGCAUUAUGUAAAUAUGUAUAUUGCCAGUCUCUUGAGGGAGGCUGCACUGAUGGGGCUGAAUAGAGCAUCCGGAGAGGGCAAUUUAACAGGCAGCGAUGAAUGCCCUGUAACAUAUGUCAUCUUGUCACACACACAAGUUGACGUCAACAUCAUGAUGCACAAGAGCGGGUAGGCCCAUCUGCGGCAGGGGUAGACCCGGGCAUCCGGAGCGCUUCGUCUCUUUCAUUUACCACGGCUGGGCGCUGAGUACGAACGCAGGGUUUGUGAAUGGCCUGUUGUUAAUGAGGCCUCAUUCGGUGCAAGGAGACACCCAGGGCUACCGCUUAGUGGCAUGCCCUCGGCCGACAUGAAUAACAAAAGCAGAGUGGGAUCAUUAGGCCCCCGGAUGCCCGAGGGGUCCGGCACUUUAAUCACGUUUGCGUAAUGAAUGCAGCUGCUUUGAAUCACUGCUUAUUCAUAAUGUCCACAGAUGCGGUUGUAAUGCAGCGUUAAUGUUGCUGCUGAUCUGCCAGAAGUCGUGGGUCUGUGUGUUCACAGACAGGGGCCACUCUGUUGGUUGGAUAGUGUAACAAUGGUAUGACAAGCCUAGGGUCACGUUAGAUUGAUCAACACCCAGAGAUUUCUUCCUUUGCCCUCAUGAGUAUGGACAAUGCAAAUUCAAAUGUUGGCAUAUGGCUUAGGGUCACAGAAUGAGGGUUACUUCACAUAUUAUGCAAUAAGAUGGCUUCUACAUUUGCGUUUUCUUGUAUUUUCAAUGGGCAUAAUCUCAGAAGAAUCCCUUUCUCCAGUUUUCACAUAGUUUCCAAGUCUCUGACUUUCUGCUGAGAGUGCAAAGUCUGUUUGAAGUGAUCCUGCAACUUGAAAGUAUGAUGAAUUGUGCCAGACUCCAACAGUUAAUGAUCAAACAGUUUGUUUUUCCAUUCACUAAAGAAAUGAAUGGCACAUCACAGGCUCCUCAAUAUUUAUCUGACCUGCUGAAACCACAUACAUCUUCUCGGGCUUUAAGGUCAUUAGAUCAGAGACUGCUGGUGGUACCACGCACUCGUUUUAAAGCUCGUGGUGAUCGGGCCUUUCAGACUGUGGCACCACGGUUGUGGAAUUCUGUCCCACUGUGUCUUCGCUGCACGGACUCCAUUGAUUCUUUUAAGAAACGGCUGAAGACAUUUUUAUUUAGAAAAGCAUUUGAUUAAUUUCUUCUUAUGCUGUUUUUAUAGUUUUAUUGUUUUACAUUGUUUUAUUUAAUGUUAUAUUUUUU
Haplochromis burtoni (Burton's mouthbrooder) is the source of this 2340-nucleotide long non-coding RNA. RefSeq lists it as uncharacterized. Lineage: Eukaryota; Metazoa; Chordata; Actinopteri; Cichliformes; Cichlidae. The transcript has 4 exons. The record is from RefSeq and is a predicted model, not a curated record.